AGCGAACGCUGGCGGCAGGCCUAACACAUGCAAGUCGAACGAACCUUUCGGGGUUAGUGGCGGACGGGUGAGUAACACGUGGGAACGUGCCUUUAGGUUCCGAAUAACUCAGGGAAACUUGUGCUAAUACCGAAUGUGCCCUUCGGGGGAAAGAUUUAUCGCCUUUAGAGCGGCCCGCGUCUGAUUAGCUAGUUGGUUGAGGUAAUGGCUCACCAAGGCGACGAUCAGUAGCUGGUCUGAGAGGAUGAUCAGCCACAUUGGGACUGAGACACGGCCCAAACUCCUACGGGAGGCAGCAGUGGGGAAUCUUGCGCAAUGGGCGAAAGCCUGACGCAGCCAUGCCGCGUGAAUGAUGAAGGUCUUAGGAUUGUAAAAUUCUUUCACCGGGGACGAUAAUGACGGUACCCGGAGAAGAAGCCCCGGCUAACUUCGUG
RNAcentral lists this ribosomal RNA (434 nucleotides) under uncultured bacterium. RNAcentral's name for it is "partial 16S ribosomal RNA". It matches the Rfam family "Bacterial small subunit ribosomal RNA", at positions 29 to 507 of the family's 1533-position model. The record is from RNAcentral.